CAUUCGGAUCGGAGUCUGCAACCCGACUCCGUGAAGCUGGAUUCGCUAGUAAUCGCGCAUCAGCCAUGGCGCGGUGAAUACGUUCCCGGGCCUUGUACACACCGCCCGUCAAGCCAUGGGAGCCGGGGGUGCUUGAAGUGCGUCGCCGCGAGGCGCGCCCUAGAGCAAAACCGGUGACUGGGGCUAAGUCGUAACAAGGUAUC
This 203-nucleotide ribosomal RNA is filed under the name uncultured bacterium. RNAcentral describes it as "partial 16S ribosomal RNA". It matches the Rfam family "Bacterial small subunit ribosomal RNA", at positions 1288 to 1500 of the family's 1533-position model. The record is from RNAcentral.